Molecule: ribosomal RNA, 774 nt
Filed under: uncultured Neocallimastigales
Lineage: Eukaryota; Fungi; Neocallimastigomycota; Neocallimastigomycetes; Neocallimastigales
Description: partial large subunit ribosomal RNA
Rfam family: Eukaryotic large subunit ribosomal RNA
Source: RNAcentral
UACUAGAGUAGCACUCGCAUAUCAAUAAGCGGAGGAAAAGAAACUAACAAGGAUUCCCCUAGUAACGGCGAGUGAAGCGGGAAGAGCUCAAAUUUGAAAUCUUAAAGGGUUUCCCUUUACGAAUUGUAGUUUAAAGAAGUGUUUUCUGUUGAGGUUUUGGUAAAAGUUCUUUGGAAUAGGACAUCAUAGAGGGUGAGAAUCCCGUAUUUGACCUUUACUUUCAACUUUGUGAUACACUUUCAAAGAGUCGGAUUGUUUGGGAAUGCAGUCCAAAAUGGGUGGUAAAUUUCAUCUAAAGCUAAAUAUUGGCGAGAGACCGAUAGCGAACAAGUACCGUGAGGGAAAGAUGAAAAGAACUUUGAAAAGAGAGUUAAACAGUACGUGAAAUUGUCAAAAGGGAAGCGUUUGACACCAGUGUUGUUUUUCUGAAAAUCAAUUAAAGAACUGUUUAUGCUAAGCUGUUUAGACUUUAUCAGCUAUCUGUUUAGUUUUAGGCUUUUCUUUAGUGCACUUUUCAGUUAACAAGUCAACAUCAAUUUCUUUUGCUGUAAAAAAGCUUGAGGAAGGUGGCUUGAGAUUCGUCUUAAGUGUUUAUAGCCUCUUGCCUAUGCAGUCGGAGAGAUUGAGGUCUGCAGCGUAGAUCCUUCGGGGCUAAAUGCAUUUGUGCUAAGUUAUAGCAUUUUAUAGACAACUUGUUGACUAUGAUUUGUCUUGUAGCUUACUCGCUUAUGUUAUUUUACCUACGCUUAGGAUGUUGAACUACUGAGACAUAGA